AGAGGAAGGAGAAGUCGUAACAAGGUUUCCGUAGGUGAACCUGCGGAAGGAUCAUUGUCGAAACCUGCCCAGCAGAACGACCCGCGAACUCGUGAAAACACCGGAGGGGAGGGCGCCCCCGCGCGCGCUCCUCUCCACCCGCCCCGGGUGCGGGACUCGUCCCGUUCCCCGCGGCGGAACAACGAACCCCCGGCGCGGACUGCGCCAAGGAAAUCUAACGAGAGAGCACGCUCUCGGGGCCCCGGACACGGUGCGCCUUGGGACGCGGCGCCUUCUUUCACUUUACGUCUAUAACGACUCUCGGCAACGGAUAUCUCGGCUCUCGCAUCGAUGAUGAUUGCAGAUCCCGUGACCAUCGAGUCUUUGAACGCAAGUUGCGCCCCAAGCCGUCAGGCCGAGGGCACGUCUGCCUGGGUGUCACGCAUCGUUGCCCCACCCCUCCCCCUCGGGGGCCAGGAGGUGMGGGCGGAGAAUGGCCUCCCGUGCGCUCCCGYUCGCGGUUGGCCCAAAUUCGAGUCCCCGGYGACCGAAAGCCGCGACGAUCGGUGGUGAAAACAAGCCUCUCGAGCUAACACGUCGCGCGCCCGCGUCUCCGGAUGGGGACUCAGGGACCCYGACGCCCCGCGCAAGCGG
Molecule: unclassified non-coding RNA, 633 nt
Filed under: Geijera paniculata
Lineage: Eukaryota; Viridiplantae; Streptophyta; Magnoliopsida; Sapindales; Rutaceae
Description: Coatesia paniculata sequence contains 18S rRNA gene, ITS1, 5.8S rRNA gene, ITS2 and 28S rRNA gene
Rfam family: Eukaryotic small subunit ribosomal RNA (bases 1-57)
Source: RNAcentral